Molecule: ribosomal RNA, 115 nt
Filed under: Anolis carolinensis (green anole)
Lineage: Eukaryota; Metazoa; Chordata; Lepidosauria; Squamata; Anolidae
Source: RNAcentral
CCUGAUAUUCAGAUCCUAAAGGCAACAGAUCCCAUCUGAUCUUGGAAGCAAAGCAGGUCAGUCCUUGCUAGUACUUAGAUGGGAGCCCACCAAUGAAUGCCAGGUGCUAUAGGCU